UGGGGUACACCCGAUCCCAUUCCGAACUCGGAAGUUAAGCC
This 41-nucleotide ribosomal RNA is filed under the name Halodesulfovibrio spirochaetisodalis. The record is from RNAcentral. Lineage: Bacteria; Pseudomonadati; Thermodesulfobacteriota; Desulfovibrionia; Desulfovibrionales; Desulfovibrionaceae.